Non-coding RNA from Triticum urartu, 1183 nucleotides. The record is from RefSeq and is a predicted model, not a curated record. Lineage: Eukaryota; Viridiplantae; Streptophyta; Magnoliopsida; Poales; Poaceae.
GAAAAUUGUCCCGGACCCGACCCGAGCAGUCGUUACCGCUGUGUACGGAUCAUCCCCAAACAUCUACAAAACAUCACCGUUUUCUUAUUUGGACUCCCUAGCUAUUUUAUUCGCGAUCGUCUGAUUGUGAUCGGAGGGUCCGAUUAGCCCCUGACCAAAAAUCCUUGCUAUAUAUACUGCCUAACCCUAGAUCCUAGGAGCCUUGUCCCAUCAAUCCCAUCAUGCCGCCGCCACUCCUCCAGUCCCCUCUUCCUCGGGAUCCCCUCUCGAUCCAGCCCACCAACCAGUGCAAGCCACUUCUCCCCUUGAUCCCGAAUGGAUCGUGUAGCUGCUCGAGGCCCCGAGCAGGAGCGCUCGGCCUCGUCCCCUCGGGCCACCGCCGCCGGCAACCAGCGCCACCAGGGAACGAGUGGGAUAUGCCAUGGCCGCCCGCGAAAGCUUCGUCAUUGCCGGGAUCAAGUUCCUCUGGCCCCAGCCUCGGAUCCGACGUCUCCAGCCUCCCUGCUACCUUGCUCGUCCGCGCCAAGACCUCGCCUCUGCUCCACCUCAAGGCCUCGCCGUCGCUGUCGGACUUCGCCGGUGAACAGUACUGCCGCCCUGCGUCACCUGAAGCCGCCGUGCCAUGCCCGAGUCGAGCGCGAGCUUGAGGUCGAGCCAUUGAACGCGCCCAUCCUGUAGCUGCAUCCUCACUGUCUUCCGCUCCCCCGCCGGCCCUUUGCAGCCGCGGUUGCCGCUGCUGUGCUCGUCUAUGUCCCCGACGUCAUCAACCACCGCCUCCUCCUCUGCUUCGAGCAGGAGGACGAGAAGCGCCCGAUCCGUUUUGUCCUCUCGUCAAUGCCCACGCGUGGACUCUGCGCCCAUUGACUGCGAUUGGGUCGGCCUCGUCCCAGGCCCAGCUCGCCCUCCAUCGCCCAGCGCCAGGAAGGCCCAGCCACGCGCCGCUUCUUCCUCAGCCCAACGGUUCCUCUCUAGAUCUGGGCUGAAGCCCAUGGUGAGGCCCAACGCCUCCUGUGUAUUUUUUUUGUUCUUUCUUCUCUUUCUUUAUUCUCUAUUGGGCCUCUGCUUAGUUUCAGCCCGUUAGGUUUUUUCCUUAGCUGCGAUUUUAUCAAUUUCCAGGGCAUUGCACUUUGCAGAUCAGCCCUCAUACAUCAUGCAUAUCUUAUCUCACAAACGGUGCAUCAUA